UCGUGUAACCUGUUUUUAUAUACAGUCUAUGCGUGUAACUUAAAGAGUUUAAAUCAGUGCAGCUCGUUUGUGUUAUAAUAAGCUUUUUAAUGAAUACGUUAUUUUCUAUUGUUAGAUUAUAUCUACUAGCGACAAUGAACAGCUGUUAAGAGUUAAGCACGGAAAAGAAGCGGUUGAUCAUGAACACUGUUUGGAUCGAAACAUUUAAUGGAUUUAAAAACAUUUACUCAAAAUAUGCAGAAAAGAGCUAUAAACUCAUGAUACUGUUAUAAAGAUGGAGUUCAUUAAAGAGGAGAGUGAAGACGUGAAGAUUGAAGAAACAGUCAAACAUGAAGAUACUGAGGAACAAACAGCAGGAUUUGGCGCAUGCCCACACUGCCAGAAGCACCAAAAGUUGGUUGAAUGACCAUGGUGUUGGUGUGCUUGACUGACCAGCAAACUCACCAGACCUGAACCCCAGAGGGAAUCUAUGGGCUAUUGUCAAGAGGACAAUACAAAACAAUGCAGAUGAGCUGAAGGCCACUGUCAAAGAAACUGGGCUUCCAGACCACCUAAGAAGUGCCACAAACUGAUCACUUCCAUGCCACGCCAAACCAAGACAGUAAUUCAAGCAAAAAGAGCCCCUACCAAGUAUUGAGUACAUGUACAGUAAAUGAACAAACUUUCCAGAAGGCCAAAAAUUCAUUUAAAUGUUUUUUUUUUAUUGUGUGAAAUAUGAGUCCCGAUAGUUUUUUCAUGUACGUACAGUAAGGGAGGGAUUGGCAAAAUCACACAUGUAGUAAAUCAACCUGGACACUAGAAACAUACAACAACCUUUAGGAACAUGAAAAAAAGCCUUUUGGGGAGUUUUUAUAGCCAUAAUUGUGUACUGUGUUUGUGUAUAGGGGUAUAUAUACAAACCCGAUUCCAAAAAAGUUGGGACACAGUAAAAAUUGUGAGUAAAAAAGGAAUGGAAUACUUUACAAAUCUCAAACUUAUAUUCUAUUCACAAUAGAAUACAGAUAACAUAUCAAAUGUAGAAAGUGAGACAUUUUGAAAUGUCAUGCGAAAUUCUGGCUAAUUUUGGAUUUCCAGAGAGCUACACAUUCCAAAAAAGUUGGGACAGGUAGAAAUAAGAGGCCAGAAAAGUUAAAUGUGUAUAUAAGGAACAGCUGGAGGACCAAUUUGCAACUUAUUAGGUCAUUGGGAACAUGAUUGGGUAUAAAAAGAGCCUCUCAGAGUUGCAGUGUCUCUCAGAAGUCAAGAUGGGCAGAGGAUCACCAAUUCCCUGAGUUUCUCAGAGAAAAAUUGCAAAGAGUUUGAAGUUAUCAUCAUCUACAGUGCAUAAUAUCAUCCAAAGAUUCAGAGAAUCUGGAACAAUCUCUGUGUGUAAGGGUCAAGGCUGGAAAACCAUACUGGAUCCCCACGAUCUUCAGCUCUUAGACAGCACUGCAUCACAUACAGGAACAUGAUCCAGAAGCGCAGAUGUUUUCUCUGGGCCAAAGCUCGUUUAAAAUGGACUGUGGCAAAGUGGAAAACUGUUCUGUGGUCAGACAAAUCAAAAUCUGAAGUUCUUUUUGGAAAACUGGGACGCCAUGUCAUCCGGACUAAAGAGGACAAGGACAACCCAAGUUGUUAUCAGCGCUCAGUUCAGAAGCUGCAUCUCUGAUGGUAUGGGGUUGCAUGAGUGUGUGUGGCAUGGGCAGCUUACACAUCUGGAAAGGCACCAUCAAUGCUGAAAGAUGUAUCCAAGCUCUAGAACAACACAUGCUCCCAUCCAGACAUCGUCUCUUUCAGGGAAGACCUUGCAUUAUCCAAUAUGACAAUGCCAGACCACACACUGCAUCAAUUACAACAUCAAGGCUGCGUAAAAGAAGGAUCCGGGUACUGAAAUGGCCAGCCUACAGUCCAGAUCUUUCACCCAUGGAAAACAUUUGGUGCAUCAUAAAGCGGAAGAUGUGACAGAGAAGACCUAAAACAGUUGAGCAACUAGAAGCCUGUAUUAGACAAGAAUGGGACAACAUUCCUAUUCCUAAACUUGAGCAACUUGUCUCAGUCCCCAGACAUUUGCAGACUGUUAUAACAAGAAGAGGGGAUGCCACACAGUGGGAAACAUGGCCUUGUCCCAACUUUUUUGAGAUGUGUUGAUGCCAUGAAAUGUAUUUUUAUUACUUAUUUUUCCCUUAAAAUGAUACAUUUUCUCAGUUUAAACAUUUGAUAUGUCAUUUAUGUUGUAUUCUGAAUAAAAUAUUGAAAUUUGAAACUUCCUCAUCAUUGCAUUCAAUUUUUAUUCACAAUUUGUACACUGUUCCAACUUUUUUGGAAUCUGGUUUGUAUAAUGCGAUGCACUUGCCUCAGAUGGGGCCAUUCUAUUGACAGACCACCUCAUUCACCGACAAAAACCUUGUUAACUCCACUUGAGCUUGUUUUUCAUAUCGCCUAAUAUUAAGUGCAAGUGUCUGAUACAAUACCGACACUGACGACACAGCGUUGUUUAAUUAUUGUUUCCCCCUUUUUCUUUUUCCCCAUUUUAGUAGUGCGCCAUGAAAUAGUUUUAUUUGUCAACAUCCACAACAGACAUCAUAUUGUGUGUAUUUGGUUGCUUAGGAUCAACAAACUAGGGAUGCAACGAUACCACUUUUUCAAAACCAUCUGAUCCGAUACCAAACAUUCUAAGUAUCUGCCGAUACCGAUACCAAUCCGAUUUCAGUGUUUGUUUAUUUGUUUAUUUUUUUACCUUCAAAACUAAGGACUGUUCAUAUAUCACUUAUUCAUUAAAAUGUAUUUGUUUUAGGUUAAGAAAGAAAUACCAAAUCUGACCGCACAUUACUUGAUGAAAAAGGGGAAAACAUAAGAGAUAUAUGAUGCAAUCUACAGUAUGGCAGACAAAUUUAUUAAGAAAAGAUGAUGCAAUAACAAAAUUUAUUUAUUUCCCUCAUUAUAAACUUGAAAGCUGCGAGCAUUUUUAAACCAUGCAAUAUAGCUACACACAGUCCCCCGCCGAAAUUUAGGACCUGAUUAAAUAUAACUAUUAUACAGAGAUUUGUAAAAUAAAAUUCUAAAUAUUUUUAGGCCUGAAAAAUGGUUGUUUUAAAAUUGCAUGCCAUUACCAUAUUAUUCAUGACCUUACAGACCCUAAAAGCAACUGAUGCACGCUCUUAAUCACUUAAACUAGUCCACCAAUGUGAUUGUGCGAAUGCUCCGUUACCGUAAUCACAUGCCGAAUCACAUACCCCACUUUUUUCCGGGACCUCAAAAUUUACAAAUUAAGCACUGCUUUGUACAUACAGUAAGGGAGGUAUUGGCAAAAUCUCACUUGUAGUAAAUCAACCUGGACACUAGAAACAUACUACAACCUUUUAGGAACAUAAAAAAAAUCAUUUUGAGGACUUUUUAUAAUCAUAAUUGUGUACUCUGUUUGUGUAAAGGGGUAUAUAUAUUUAUAUAAAAAUUCACCUAUAGUAAGAAUUGUCCCUUCAGCAGCCUUGAUGAAUGUGUAGCGAAUAUCUUGUGUAACUUGCAUUAAUACUCUGGGUUCAUCUGCCUGUCUAUAGUUUGCUUCAUUAGAUUUUGUUUUUUUAAUACAUAUGACGGAAACAGCAUGAAACCUUGCACGUUACGUUUAUAUUCGACA
This is an RNA transcript of Carassius gibelio (silver crucian carp), 3613 nucleotides long. It is a transcript of the gene named gastrula zinc finger protein XlCGF8.2DB, with no coding region annotated. Lineage: Eukaryota; Metazoa; Chordata; Actinopteri; Cypriniformes; Cyprinidae. The record is from RefSeq and is a predicted model, not a curated record. The transcript has 3 exons.